Molecule: transfer RNA, 68 nt
Filed under: Diplacanthopoma brachysoma
Lineage: Eukaryota; Metazoa; Chordata; Actinopteri; Ophidiiformes; Bythitidae
Description: tRNA-Tyr
Rfam family: tRNA
About the family: Transfer RNA (tRNA) molecules are approximately 80 nucleotides in length. Their secondary structure includes four short double-helical elements and three loops (D, anti-codon, and T loops). Further hydrogen bonds mediate the characteristic L-shaped molecular structure. tRNAs have two regions of fundamental functional importance: the anti-codon, which is responsible for specific mRNA codon recognition, and the 3' end, to which the tRNAs corresponding amino acid is attached (by aminoacyl-tRNA synthetases). tRNAs cope with the degeneracy of the genetic code in two manners: having more than one tRNA (with a specific anti-codon) for a particular amino acid; and 'wobble' base-pairing, i.e. permitting non-standard base-pairing at the 3rd anti-codon position.
Source: RNAcentral
GGUAAGAUGGCUGAGAUAAGCGGUGGAUUGUAGCCCCAUAGACAGAGGUUUAAGCCCUCUUCUUACCA